Molecule: long non-coding RNA, 338 nt
Filed under: Trifolium pratense (red clover)
Lineage: Eukaryota; Viridiplantae; Streptophyta; Magnoliopsida; Fabales; Fabaceae
Description: long non-coding RNA (TPRA_LNC006579)
Source: RNAcentral
UUACAAGUAUUAAUCAAAGAAAUCACAGCCGGUUGAAAUGUCAAUGUAGAUCCAAAGACCAAGUGCAUUGUAGAUACCGAUGCAACAAAAUUUAUCAUCGAGAAUGUCAUAUCUUUAACAGUUAAAGAGAAACUGCGCAUCAAAUUGUUACCUAAAAGUGGACAUUGCAGAUCAAAAUAUAGCAAUAUUAAAACACACAAAAAAAAAAGAAGGUAAUUCAUGCAACAACAAUAUAGAAAUUCUAUUUUAGAGAGUUCACAGUAUGAACAUGAACAAUAAAUAUCACUUACCUAAAUAGAAACAUGGUGGAACAAGAUUCAGAGUUGUAUAAGUUGUGA